Molecule: ribosomal RNA, 442 nt
Filed under: uncultured Hyphomicrobiales bacterium
Lineage: Bacteria; Pseudomonadati; Pseudomonadota; Alphaproteobacteria; Hyphomicrobiales
Description: bacterial SSU rRNA
Rfam family: Bacterial small subunit ribosomal RNA
Source: RNAcentral
UCCUACGGGGGGCUGCAGUGGGGAAUAUUGGACAAUGGGCGAAAGCCUGAUCCAGCCAUGCCGCGUGAGUGAUGAAGGCCUUAGGGUUGUAAAGCUCUUUCAGCUGGGAAGAUAAUGACGGUACCAGCAGAAGAAGCCCCGGCUAACUUCGUGCCAGCAGCCGCGGUAAUACGAAGGGGGCUAGCGUUGUUCGGAAUCACUGGGCGUAAAGCGCACGUAGGCGGAUCGAUAAGUCAGGGGUGAAAUCCCGAGGCUCAACCUCGGAACUGCCUUUGAUACUGUCGAUCUUGAGUCCGGGAGAGGUGAGUGGAACUCCGAGUGUAGAGGUGAAAUUCGUAGAUAUUCGGAAGAACACCAGUGGCGAAGGCGGCUCACUGGCCCGGUACUGACGCUGAGGUGCGAAAGCGUGGGGAGCAAACAGGAUUAGAUACCCCAGUAGUCA